This 1450-nucleotide ribosomal RNA is filed under the name uncultured Bordetella sp. Its description in RNAcentral is "partial 16S-23S ribosomal RNA intergenic spacer". It matches the Rfam family "Bacterial small subunit ribosomal RNA". The record is from RNAcentral. Lineage: Bacteria; Pseudomonadati; Pseudomonadota; Betaproteobacteria; Burkholderiales; Alcaligenaceae.
AGUUCGAUUAUGGCUCGAUCAACAAGCGAGGAUGCUGGCGAUGUGGAAGUCGAACGUGGCAUGGACUUUAUUCAGUAUGAGUGGCGAACUGUGAGUGAAUAUCGAACGUGCCUAGUAGCGGGGACACCACUACGAAAGCGGUAGCCAAUACCGCAUACGCCCUUCGGGGGAAAGUGGGGACCUUCGGGCCUCGCAAUCGACAGAGCGGCCGAUAUCGGAUUAGCUAGUUGGUGGGGUAACGGCUCACUAAGGCGACGAUCCGUAGCUGGUUUGAGAGGACGACCAGCCACACUGGGACUGGGAGACACGGCCCAGACUCCUACGGAGGCAGCAGUGGGGAAUUUUGGACAAUGGGGGAAACCCUGAUCCAGCCAUCCUGCGUGCGAUGAAGGCCUUCGGGUUGUAAAGCACUUUUGGCAGGAAAGAAACGGCACGGAUAAUACCCCGUGCAACUGACGGUACCUGCAGAAUAAGCACCGCUGAACUACGCCAGCAGCCGCGGUAAUACGUAGGUGCAAGCGUUAAUCGGAAUUACUGGGUAGCGUGCGCAGGUGGUUCGAAAGAAAGAUGUGAAAUCCCAGAGCUUAACUUUGGAACUGCAUUUUUAACUACCGAGCUAGAGUGUGUCAGAGGAGGUGGAAUUCCGCGUGUAGCAGUGAAAUGCGAGAUAUGCGGAGGAACACCGAUGGCGAAGGCAGCCUCCUGGGAUAACACUGACGCUCAUGCACGAAAGCGUGGGGAGCAAACAGGAUUAGAUACCUGGUAGUCCACGCCCCAAACGUGAUGUCAACUAGCUGUUGGGGCCUCGGGCCUUGGUAGCGCAGCUAACGCGUGAAGUUGACCGCCCGGGGAGUACGGUCGCAAGAUUAAAACUCAAAGGAAUUGACGGGGACCCGCACAAGCGGUGGAUGAUGUGGAUUAAUUCGAUGCAAACGCGAAAACCUUACCUACCCUUGACAUGUCUGGAAUCCUGAAGAGAUUUGGGAGGGUUUCUGCAAGAGAACCGGAACACAGGUGCUGCAUGGCUGUCGUCAGCUCGUGUCGUGAGAUGCUGGGUUAAGUCCUGCAACGAGCGCAACCCUUGUCAUUGCUACGAAAGGGCACUCUAUCGGGACUGCCGGUGACAAAUCAGAGGAAGGUGGGGAUGACGUCAAGUCCUCAUGGCCCUUAUGGGCAGGGCUUCACACGUCAUACAAUGGUCGGGACAGAGGGUCGCCAACCCGCGAGGGGGAGCCAAUCCCAGAAACCCGAUCGUAGUCCGGAUCGCAGUCUGCACCGACUGCGUGAAGUCGGAAUCGCUAGUAAUCGCGGAUCAGCAUGUCAUGGUGAAUACGUUCCCGGGUCUUGUACACACCGCCCGCUGCACCAUGGAGCAUACCAGAAGUAGUUACUCAACCGUAAGAGAGGCGACAAUACGGUAGAUCCAUGAUCAGGUGUCGUAACAAGGUAA